Molecule: unclassified non-coding RNA, 433 nt
Filed under: soil metagenome
Description: partial contains 5.8S ribosomal RNA, internal transcribed spacer 2, and large subunit ribosomal RNA
Rfam family: 5.8S ribosomal RNA (bases 1-120)
Source: RNAcentral
GAUGAAGAACGCAGCGAAAUGCGAUACGUAAUGUGAGUUGCAGAAUUCAGUGAAUCAUCGAAUCUUUGAACGCAUAUUGCGCUCUCUGGUAUUCCGGAGAGCAUGCUUGUUUGAGUAUCAGUAAACACCUCAACUUCCAUAUCUUUUUUGAAAUGGGAGUUGGACUUGAGUGAUCCCAACGCUUUUCCUCACCGAAAAGUGGCGGGUUACUUGAAAUGCAGGUGCAGCUGGACUUUUCUCUGAGCUAUAAGCAUAUCUAUUUAGUCUGCCUAAAAAACAGAUUAUUACCUUUGCUGCAGCUAACAUAAAGGAGAUUAGUUCUUGUGCUGACUGAUGCAGGAUUCACAAAGACAGGCUUCGGCCGACUUUGUAAACUCGAUCUCAAAUCAAGUAAGACUACCCGCUGAACUUAAGCAUAUCAAUAAGCGGAGGA